Long non-coding RNA from Seriola dumerili (greater amberjack), 322 nucleotides. RefSeq lists it as uncharacterized. Lineage: Eukaryota; Metazoa; Chordata; Actinopteri; Carangiformes; Carangidae. The transcript is spliced from 3 exons. The record is from RefSeq and is a predicted model, not a curated record.
CAGAAGGGCUUUGGUUCAACCAUAUGACUUUUAUUCAGAAUCUGACCCAGAGGCAGAGGCUCCUGAAGAAAUUCAAACUCUACAACUGCAGCAGGACAUUUCUGAAUAGUUGACCGACCAGCCUGCUGCUGACCUCCCACAGCUUACGAGCAACCUCCUCAUCCAGGGCCAGGGGCGCUGGUUCCUUUUCUGUCAUCACAUCAUAGUAGCGUCCCGUCACACCCUCCAUCUCCUCAGACACGGCCAGUUCAAGUCCUCGAAGUCAAUCUUUCCAACGAUGUGGGCGAGUGAGGCCAGGUUGAUCACUCUGCUGGGGGCGGAC